Molecule: long non-coding RNA, 3686 nt
Organism: Alligator mississippiensis (American alligator)
Lineage: Eukaryota; Metazoa; Chordata; Crocodylia; Alligatoridae
Exons: 2
Source: RefSeq, a predicted model, not a curated record
CCAACAGACUUUGUAUUCUGGGAAAUGGAGUCUCUCGCUGCAUUGGAUUUUUUUGGAGUUUGCAGGAAAUCUCCUCGGGUGAGUGCUGGGACAACCGGUCCAGCUAACGGCAGCCGGCAGUGAUUUUAAUUCAGGUCAGAGACAGGUUGCAGCCUGCAACUCUCCAGUCUAAAGCAGGCAGCCUGUUUUCUCAGCAGGCCGCUCUCCCGUAGGAAUAAGGGCUAACGUUGCCCCGGGUUUCCUCCCAGGCCCUGCUGGGAUGUGCUCACGGACGUGGCCUGGGGGCCUCCGUUCCAGCCAGCCCCGACCUGGCUGUGAUGGCUUCUCGGAAGACUUACCAGCCACGUUUCUACAGAGAAAGACUCAACUCUCCAACUGCCCCAGUCGGAGACCAGCUACAAUGACCCUGGCAAAGUCCCCAAGAAUAUGCAAAGGAGGCUGCAAUCUGAGCUAGUAGGGCUUAAACCCUGCUUGAACCCGGGUAAUCUGUACCAACGCAGAUCACCGCUCUCCUUUCCUGCAGGAGAGAUUUGCAUUGAGGGCAGCUACGCUGGCAGAUGGCCACCAAUGACUUACCCUGAAUCCAGACACCAAGGUAGCCAAGGCCUUAGUCAGCAAAAAAGGCUUCAGAUGGGAAGCAGACGCAAAUCUAGAGUUUAUCACGUUUUCAGUCUAUGUCAUAGUGAUCGAAGCAUUCAAAGCAGGAACCGCCGUGCAGAAAACCAGUCAUGGCCAGCAGCUGUCAGUGGAGCCUUGAAUGGAGGGCGAAAUAUGUUGCUACGAUGGUCUUGCAACAGUACUUUCAUUCCUAACUUUCUUUCAUAACUCCCACUCCUCGUUUUCAAGGGCAGAAACUUACAGUCAUUUUAUAUUUAAAAUUACCUUGGCCAGAGCAGGCGGGAAUGUUCUUGACGCCCAGACGUUCAGUGGAGGUGCAUCGGCUCCGUCGGUUUUUGUCAUUUCUCCAUUUCCGAGACACGUACACACGACAACCUAGCAGUGCGGGUGCUGCCCUGAGAUAUGGGAACCUGGGUGAAGGCCCUGAUUCUGCCAGAGUAAUCGGGGCUUAAAACCCCCUGCUGUGAGACAGAGCAAAGAUUCGACCCAAUCUCCCACAUCCAUCGCCUCUUUCCCAAUUGAAAACGCUCAGUUUCCAGCUGCAAAUAAUGGCCGGUUUGACACCAUUCCAUUUCCACGAGACCCUUUGCAAGUUCUUUUCCACCAUGAUGCAGAACAAGAAAAACUCACAACCCCAAAGCUACGACAGAGUAGACUUGUCCUCUAGCCAGGUCUAAUCUUACCAGCUGGGCUGAACAAGGUCAAACCAGAUUGGAUACACCAGGCUCAGAAAGGUUUUAGAUACCCGACAGGCUUAACUCGGACUAUGAGAGAAGGCUAUUGGGUGAGCUGGUCCAGAGAAGGUGAGUGGAAGCAGGGGAAGUAUUAAGUGUCGGAAGAAAGAGAUUUAUUAGACAAGCACUGCUUCUGUAAAACAAGCUGUCCCGUCAGGAUGUGGCCAUGCAAUAGUUACUGGGAAUGUGCCUUUCUAGUCCAGUCCAGUAUCAUGCUACCUUCCCUUUCCCCUCCACCGAAAUCAAGUGGUUGGACAUGUAGUUGGAAGAACGUCUAUUUAAUCCCUCUGUGAACUCUGCUUUGCAAAUGGGGCUUUUGUCCUCUACAUCAUGACUUCCUGUGUAAGGAGUCCCAGCCCCAAACCACCAUCUAGUGUAGGUAGCAAGGACUAUACAACAAAUACAUCUUUUAAACCUCCUACUUCAGGAUGCCAGCAGACUGCCUGCAGGGGUCAAGAGAGCUCCCAGCACAUUAAGCUUCAGACCCCACAGAUUGCUCUUCAUCUUAUACUUCAGAGGACGAUUUUAGUCCCUAGGAAAAGCAGGAUACUGGACUGGUUGGAGUCCAUCUGCGGUCUGAGUGGUGGUCUUUCUGAAUGCUCUGUUCAUAUUUCUGCUCCCUACUGCACUGCUGACUGGGGAGAGGGGCAGGGAAACCAGGAGUACAUAUACAUGUGUAAAAACAGAUUAGCUCCAUGGUGGGACAUCACAUCAUGCUUCGUCACAAGGAAUAAAUCUAGACGGAAGCUUCAGUCCUGCAGGUAAGAGUGAAAAAUGAAGGUGGACAUAAAGGGGAGCUCUAUCACACGUCCCAAUUAAUCCCUCAUUCAAGUGGAGACACCAAGAAUUAACAACUGACAGGAAACCUGGCCAGGAUGAAAGCAAAGAGAAAAAUGACUGAGUUUUUCGCUGAGCGCUGGGCACCACCAGUGACUUCAAUUCGGCAGCAUAACCACGGUCAGCAGAUCCUCACGUGAGAAGCAUCAGCCCUCACAGAUCUAUGCUGUGUUAUGAAACACAGAGCACAUGUCUGUUUGAGGGAGAGACCCCGAUGGGCUUAUAGUCAGGAAAAGGAGUUGCUGUUUCACCCUUAUCUCAGGGACAUCAAUGCUGUUUCCCAAUUCCUUGCUGUCAGCCUACAGAUCGUCAGUGCUGCUGGGAGACGCUGGCACCGUACAGAAGAGCGCAGAUUUGGGUGUUUCGGGAUAGCACCUUCUGCAUCACUGCAGGGGGCUGGACUAGAUGAUCCUCCAGGUCCCUGCCAACUUUGAAUUUAGGUAAGUUUGAGGCAAAACAAUGCCGGAAGGGCAAAAGCCUCACAAGCUGAACUGCCUAAAAAAAAGAUCUGUGUCAUGCGCAGUCACCAGCAACAGACAGGCCUUGAGACACCCAACAGAAGGAGGUACUGAAAGGAGCAGAGUCCUGUUUUACUACUAACAGUGCAGAAUUGGUAGCAGGCAGCCCUGGCCUAUGGAGGUGCCCAGUGAAUUUUCCCGUCCCUUUCCAUCUGGAAUAAAGCCCACAUGCACCCUGCAUGUGCUGCUAUAAACAUCACCUUCCACUAUUAGACUGGACUGCACCAAACUGUGGGAUAUUUGCAAGUGGUGAGUUACGAUUAAAGCCGGCAUUUCCGCGCCAGUUCUACAGUAUGUUUUUGUCCACGGACAGCAUUUACUAUGACCUUCCCAGGUGUUCCCAGAUUUUGGCUUUGUUUUGUCGAUCCUUUCAUAGGCUAAGAGCUACCUGGGGUUCGCCACACAGUUCCAACAAUCUCCAGGAAAUAAGAGGAGCAAGAACGUAUUCAAAACAUUUCAACUUGGGUUGAACCCUCUAAGAAGAGCUGGGGAAUGCCCAUAGUGCUUCUUUUAAAGGGUGCCGAGCUGGUUUUUGAAGAGCCUGGAUUUAACUGCCCUCCUCAUGGGUGGAAAAAAGGAAUAAGUCAAGUCCCGGUGGCUGGAUUUGAAGGAGCAAAUGGCCUUUUAGGAUCUCAGGCUAGUAAUAUUUGCUAUGCUGCAGAACAGUGAAUUUGUAAGGCCAAGUGCCAGGCAGAUUCAACCCCCAGGUCAUUAGGCCCCUGGUACAAUGAACAGAGACAAAAUUAGCUAAAGCAUAUUCUUUCAGUGCCGGAGCCCAUGUGUUAAUUUAUUGUGCAAAGCGGCAAAAACAACUCUUUCAACUUCAACUUCUGAACACCCACAGCUCACAGCUAGGAGGUCUAACAGUGCUUUCAUUCAAAUAACUGUUGCCGGUUAAAAAUGAGCAUUUUACCACACAACCACAGGCUAGCACUAAUUAUUAAACAGAAAACCGGCUAUAGAAUAAAGAACAUAGCCA